This 742-nucleotide ribosomal RNA is filed under the name fungal endophyte sp. XSY5. RNAcentral describes it as "eukaryotic LSU rRNA". The stretch from base 1 to 247 matches the Rfam family "Eukaryotic small subunit ribosomal RNA". The record is from RNAcentral. Lineage: Eukaryota; Fungi.
UGCAUUAUUGCUUUUCACGAGGAAUGCCUAGUAAGCGCGUGUCAUCAGCAUGCGUUGAUUACGUCCCUGACCUUUGUACACACCGCCCGUCGCUACUACCGAUUGAAUGGCUCAGUGAGGCCUUCGGACUGGCUCGAGGAGGUUGGCAACGACCACCUCAAGCCGGAAAGUUCGUCAAACUCGGUCAUUUAGAGGAAGUAAAAGUCGUAACAAGGUCUCCGUAGGUGAACCUGCGGAGGGAUCAUUACACAAAUAUGAAGGCGGGCUGGAACCUCUCGGGGUUACAGCCUUGCUGAAUUAUUCACCCUUGUCUUUUGCGUACUUCUUGUUUCCUUGGUGGGUUCGCCCACCACUAGGACAAACAUAAACCUUUUGUAAUUGCAAUCAGCGUCAGUAACAAAUUAAUAAUUACAACUUUCAACAACGGAUCUCUUGGUUCUGGCAUCGAUGAAGAACGCAGCGAAAUGCGAUAAGUAGUGUGAAUUGCASAAUUCAGUGAAUCAUCGAAUCUUUGAACGCACAUUGCGCCCUUUGGUAUUCCAAAGGGCAUGCCUGUUCGAGCGUCAUUUGUACCCUCAAGCUUUGCUUGGUGUUGGGCGUCUUGUCUCUAGCUUUGCUGGAGACUCGCCUUAAAGUAAUUGGCAGCCGGCCUACUGGUUUCGGAGCGCAGCACAAGUCGCACUCUCUAUCAGCAAAGGUCUAGCAUCCAUUAAGCCUUUUUUUCAACUUUGACCUCGGAUCA